This 253-nucleotide ribosomal RNA is filed under the name uncultured bacterium. RNAcentral describes it as "partial 16S ribosomal RNA". It matches the Rfam family "Bacterial small subunit ribosomal RNA", at positions 524 to 776 of the family's 1533-position model. The record is from RNAcentral.
UACGUAGGGGGCAAGCGUUGUCCGGAAUCAUUGGGCGUAAAGAGCGUGUAGGCGGCCCGGUAAGUCCGCUGUGAAAGUCCAGGGCUCAACCCUGGGAUGCCGGUGGAUACUGUCGGGCUCGAGUCCGGAAGAGGAGUGUGGAAUUCCUGGUGUAGCGGUGAAAUGCGCAGAUAUCUGGAGGAACACCGGUGGCGAAGGCGGCGUCCUGGACCAACACUGACACUGAGGAGCGAAAGCCAGGGGAGCAAACGGG